ACGAGUGGCGGACGGGUGAGUAAUGUCUGGGAAACUGCCUGAUGGAGGGGGAUAACUACUGGAAACGGUAGCUAAUACCGCAUAACGUCGAAAAGACCAAAGAGGGGGGACCUUCGGGCCUCUUGCCAUCAGAUGUGCCCAGAUGGGAUUAGCUAGUAGGUGGGGUAACGGCUCACCUAGGCGACGAUCCCUAGCUGGUCUGAGAGGAUGACCAGCCACACUGGGACUGAGACACGGCCCAG
Molecule: ribosomal RNA, 242 nt
Filed under: uncultured bacterium
Lineage: Bacteria
Description: partial 16S ribosomal RNA
Rfam family: Bacterial small subunit ribosomal RNA
Source: RNAcentral